AAGUCGUAACAAGGUUUCCGUAGGUGAACCUGCGGAAGGAUCAUUAACACGUAUCCAAACGUAAAAAACCCCCCCCGUGAACAUUCAAUCCUGCUCUUGUAACCCGCGUAGUUCGCAAUCUCUGGUAAAUCAUCUAUGCCAAAGGGUCCCCAUGCCCCCUUAUAACCCCACAGUUUAAUGUGAAGCUCAAUGUAAUACAUUGGGUAAAAAAACCGAUCAACUGUUAACAAUGGAUAUCUUGGUUCUC
RNAcentral lists this unclassified non-coding RNA (247 nucleotides) under fungal sp. RNAcentral's name for it is "partial internal transcribed spacer region". The stretch from base 1 to 46 matches the Rfam family "Eukaryotic small subunit ribosomal RNA", at positions 1786 to 1831 of the family's 1831-position model. The record is from RNAcentral. Lineage: Eukaryota; Fungi.